GACCAUCCAAAAACACAAGGAAGAGAUACAUCCACAGCUAUCCCGCCCAAAGAGGUGGUCCCCGUAGCGCCUCUCUUUUCUUCGGCUCAACGAAAAGCUGUAAGCUCACAUCUUAGCAAAGUCAAGCCCUGGAGAAACCGCGGGACUCUUUACAACCUUUUUCAAGCAUCAGCAUCAAAUCUCUCUCCUCACCCACCGACUUCACGCUCUUGAGUUGUCAAGGCCGGCCACGCAUCAAACACGGGAGAGUGGGGUGGUAUUUUUGUUGUUGUUGUUUCUUUUUGAACAAUGAAAAUAGAGCACAGCUCCGCACCUUUCGAAGAUUUGGAAAAGAAAAACUGUUGGGCAACCCCAGAGAAGAUGCAGCUGCAGGAACAAGGCGCGAUUUGCCCUCUGAAUGACUUUCUUUCUGAGAGAAAACUCACUGAAGCCACCAAACAGCUGGCGCGCUUUCUCUUCCUCUCUCCCUGUCUCUCUGUCCAGGCCAAUUUGCCUUUCGGCUACUCCAACCCCUGCCUAAAAAGCCUCCAGGUUUAGAGGUUAGAAAAACACGAAUUCAAACCGGGAGGAGGAGAGAAAGCCAGCAUUUCGAUUGUCAAGGAACCGGGAGGGGGGGUAGGAGAGAGAAGUUCAAACAGACUUUAAAAACAAAAGGUACUAAGGAUCAACAGGGCACAAGCAAACACCUGAAUGCCUGGCCGCGAUUCCCCUUCCCCACCCCCGUUUCUAACAACCAGCAGCCAAUGGAGGCCGGAGACGCGAGGGGAGCAAGAGCGCUGAUUCGCAGCCCGGAGGAAAGAAAGAAACACACCCCUCUCUCGGGGUAAAGGGAGGAAUAUGGGGGGCGCCGCGCAAGGCGAAGGCGGCGAGAGAAGGAAGAGCGGGAGGAAUAUCGGAAUCGCGAACAAUCGCGGGGAGAAUAAAGAUGAGAACGACGUUGGGGGGGUGGAAGUGGGGCGGACGGAACGGAGAAGUCGGAUUUCGGAAAUUGGGGGGGGAGGCGCGGGGCAGACCCCUCCCCCUUCUCCCGCGACCCCCGGUUCCCGCUCAGCCUGCGAACGCCGAACUCCACCGAGACCCUCCACGUGAUCUCGCAGCCUUGCGAGCUCCGGCGAGACCGCGGCGCCGCACGGUUGGGGCGUCUACCGAUUUUAGCCCCGUCGGACGCGGUGGGAAGGCAGGCGAAUAAUCCGGAGUCAAGGCGUCUCGCUGGCCGAGGAGAGGUUCAUCUGGCGAGGACAAUCAAAGGCUGCUCCCGAGCCUCCUUCCAAUAAAAAAAAAUUGCAAAAACAAAAUAAAUGGAGGCGGGGUAGAACAAUGCAGCGCCUUGCUUCCCUCGGGUUUUUCCCCUCCCCCACUCUGCUCUCUAUGGGUAAGGGGCCAAAAUAAUAAUCGUCCCCCUCCUCGAAAGCGGUGGUGGGGAGGGGGGAGAGCAAAUAGUAAUAAGCUGCAGCAGCAGGGAGUGAGCUGGUAGGCGGGGGGGGGGGCUGGGAGCUCAGCGAGAGAGGCACGUCAUGAGCAGCAGAACCAGCCUCCGAGGGAGAGGAGGAGGAGAAGGAGGCGGGGGUGGUAGGAAAAGAAAAGGACCAUCUAUGAAACGGAACAGCCACUAAGCGAGCUGCAACCGCCUGGCUCUAACGUGGUAGUGAGCCGCCUCCGUCAAGUAAGUCGCAGACAAUCGCGGAGCAGCCCCACCUGCUUAUAAACGAAGGGCAUCAGAAGCUGCUCUGCCCAGCCCUUUCAGGUGGUAUCCCAGGUGAAAAACAAGGAAGCGUCUGUCUAUGCUGGGAUCAUAAUUCGAUUCCGGGCUAAUCCGCAUUGCUUCCUACCGUAGUAGCCCUUUCUACCUUCCACUCAGAGAGAUGGAAAUCUUGUGACCCCGCCCUUAGCAACGCCUGUCUCAUUGUUCCGUAAACCAAGGUGAGCGCUAGGCCACGCCCCGAAAUCACACACCGUCCUUGGCUGCUGAAGUCAACGUUGGAUGGGAGGGGUGUUUAAAAAAAAAGGUGUUGCCAGCAUGUGGGCGUCUCACAACGUUGCACCUCUAAGGUUCUAUUCGGUUAACCAUCCGGUCGUCGUUGCUUUCAUAUGGCUUUUCUCAACACGUGAAAAUCCCCUAUCAUACGUCUGUAGAAAUUGUAUGAAACCUCUUGAGUUGUUUCUCAUUUAGGGAUAUCGUUUUUUUAAACAGGACGACAUCCAUAAUAUAGGAAGGUUGUGCCAGUUCACACUCAACUGAAAGGGAAUAGGUUUUCUUUCCAAAAUGGCAAUUGCUGAAAGUUUAUCAGAAUAAAAAUUGAGACAAGCAGAUAGGAUCCUU
This 2320-nucleotide long non-coding RNA is filed under the name Naja naja (Indian cobra). Its description in RNAcentral is "lncRNA (ENSNNAG00000002744.1)". The record is from RNAcentral. Lineage: Eukaryota; Metazoa; Chordata; Lepidosauria; Squamata; Elapidae.